Chelonia mydas (Green sea turtle) is the source of this 3847-nucleotide long non-coding RNA. RefSeq lists it as uncharacterized. The transcript is spliced from 3 exons. The record is from RefSeq and is a predicted model, not a curated record. NCBI's taxonomy places the organism in Eukaryota, Metazoa, Chordata, Testudines, Cheloniidae.
AGAUAAACCACACUUCCUGAGAGGUUGCAAGCACACGUAUGCAGACUUCCCUGGUAACAGACACACAGGUUGCUGCCAUGCGGGAUGAAGGUCUGAGAACAUUUGAGAUGUUACUCCAUUCGCUUCAAUAGACCCAUGCCUCAUUUGUGCUGCUGUACGCUAGAUGAGAAUCAGACCCAUCAACCUAUCAUCAAGUAAAACCAGGAUGGCCUGAGGAAAUCAAACCAGGCACCAGAUUGAAGCCAAAUGCCACCUGAUCUACACAGAUGUGCCAUGCAGUAUGUCAUUACAGCACUGACAAGAGAGUUUGCACAUUGAGUAUAAAUGUGCCAGUGCUGACUGAGGACAAUUAUUUUUGAAUACGAAGUACUGGCGAUUGUUUGCAAACAGACAUUACAAGUCUACAGAAAGGCAGGAGGUAACAUUAACGGUUUGUUCCAGUUCUGGAGUGUCCUAGCACAUCAGCUUUGCCUUGAACUUCUCUGGGUCCCAGGUAUACAUUCUUGUCUGUCAGGGACUUGCCCUGCGCUUGUAAAGUGCCCAGUACAAUGGGAACCUGAUCUCAGCUGAAGGCUCUACAAGCUACCAUAAUAGAGGAACAAGGAACAUAGUGGUCAUCAGGUCCUCUUUGCAAUGGACUAGAAAGCCAGAGAACUUAGCAUUCUUGGCUGUCGCAAACAGACCCAUUGACAACUUACCCCAAGGUUUGUAGACCUGAUGUAACUUCUCCAUUCACCUCCCACUCCUGUGGGAGCGCCUUUUGACUCAGGCUGUCUGUUUGAGGAUUGAGCAUGCCAGCCAGGGGAGUCCCGAGGGAUAGUAAGUAGUCUUCUGGCCAGUCCAUCAUCAUCAUGGCUUCUCAUGCUAGCUUCUUGCUCCUGGCAUCAUCCUGUUUGUGUGUUUAUGACACCACUGUAUUGCCUGAAUGACCCAACACUGCUUGAGGACCAUGACACCUUCCACCGCUUGCACACUUGGAUGUGCAAGUCCACCAGGGAAUCAGCCUAGGAGACCAAACGAGCUCCCAACCACCAUAGACUUGCAGAGGAGGGAGUGCUGGACUGUAAGAGUAAGCAUGAUCUCAGACCUCAGACCCGUAUGCCUCUUUUGUGUCUUCUCUGGCUAAAGGUAGUACUUUCCCUCCGUUUUCUAGAACUCUCUAGCUCAUUCAUGAGAUGGAAGAGGCACUCUCCCUUUCAAAGAGUAAUGAGGGAAUGCUAAAGCCAUAGCAAAACAGGGGGCUUUCAGACCUUUACCCCCAACAGUGCCUUGCUUCAGGUUUUGGCCUGGAUGGAUGCUUCCCAUGUUGGCCAGUCUAUCUACCUGGGCCCUAGCCAGAUGUGGUGAAGCCAACUGGUGAACUAGAGCAUGGGUCACCUCCCAUCUAGACUCCUUAAACAUGCAUUUGAGAAGGUCCACCAAGGGCACUAUAGCUUGGAGAAAAGCAGGGAUACUUGAUCUCCUUACCUGCCUUCAGUGUAGGUGUCUAAGGGUUUGCUUUGAGGGACCCCUCUCCCUCUCAGGUCCCAUGGGAUUAGCUAAGCAGGAGGGGACAGUCACAGAAUGAAUCAGGCCUGAUCUUUUGUGACAUAUGCUCCUCUCUAACCCCACUUCCUUUGCUGUCACCACAGGUGUGCUUCAACAGAGCUUCUGUCACAGUAUGAGGUAACAAACAACAAGAGCGAGAGAAAUGACUGCAGGCAGAAGGGCAAUGCUGACUGACAAAAUCCUAGAAACCAGGCAAGGAGGGGAGAAACCUUUAACAAGGCAACAGGGAGCAGAGGCCCAGAUUCCAGACGGAUGAGCUCCCCACAGAAAGGAGAAUGUGGUGCAUUCAUGCACAAGUGGAGUGACACCUGUGUGGGGAAUAUACAUCGGACCUUUGCUUAUCCCAGGGGACAUCCUGGCACAGUAGGCUUCAUACGUAGGGCUUGUAUGCAGUGUAGAAAGAGGGCUGCUGGUUGAAAUUAGGCGCCAAAUUUGGGUUUACUAAAAUCUAACACCAAUAGAAAUAAAAAAGUCUUUAUAUUCUGGUAGCAGUCAGCACUGAGCCCCCGAAUCUACCAGGCCCAUGCCAAUCUCAGCUGAGGUUUCUUUGAAGCAGUUUAUCCCAUCAAGCUUUCAAAAGAGCAGAUGAUACAAGGAGUCACUAAACAGAAGAAUGUGUCCUCUAACCCUGCGUGGACAGCUGCUCUAUGUAGACAAUUGCCCAUUUGAAUUGUUCGUAGGCAGCAGAACACAGACCACAUUUAAACCCAUCUCAGUCAUUACACACGCGCACGCACACACACUUUUUAACAAUACUGCUGUAUCCGCUUAGUUUCGGUCAAUUAUGAGAUACCCUCUCACAUUAUGCCAUAAGCAAAUCCCUAUGGAAAAGGUGGCAUGCUACAUCCUGAAAUAGACUCUGAUGGUGUCUAUAAACUGCUGUUCAUUUCAUUUCCACCCACUCGCCCCCAUCUCACACACACUCUAUUUUCCCAAAAUGUCAGUUUGCACAGGAGAGCAACUAUGUUCACAUUUGACAAUCCAACAGAUCUGCUGUCUGUGUUUGACCGAACCUUCAGAAACCUUUUGGAGCAUUCUACCAGCAUAAUUAAAUGCUGCCAUUACAGAUACUUUGGACAACACAUUUAUAACAAUACAUUUCAUGCCUCAUCUGCCACAAAAGUUUAGAAAUUCAAGUCAGCAUUCUCCGGUAAUUAUUAAUACACUUUUUUAAAUGGGAUACAGCCCUUUUUUGCAUAAUUCUAUUGCUUAAAUCAAGCAUCUAGCUAUUUGAAUCACAAACAUGACUCCAGCUUACAUGUUUUGAAGCAAAAACCCCACAAACUUUUGCUCCUCCCCAAUUUCCAUAAAAAGAAAACAAAAAUCUCUUAUUUAUGAAAGUGUCAUCACUACCUGCUUGUCAUGUACCUGCCUCAUUUGCUAUUCAAAAGUGACGCUGACCCUUAAAACCCUGGAGAGUACCUUUGCUGCUUCUUGCUAGCAAUUACAUAGUUAAUUGUCUACCACAAGGGCCUUGGGGGCUAGAUUCUGCAUGACGUUGAGCCGCCCCUCUCCAUACUAAGUGAUGGGAGCUCAGUCCCUUGUAAGGUCUUUCCCAGCUGCCUCUCAGAACAGAAAGAUUCUAGCUCUGCUGCAACCAAGAGGGUUUUGCUCAAAAUGAUGUUCACAAUUCAGAUUUUUAUUUUCCCCAAACUUUUGGCACGUGAACAGCAUCCAUCAGAGUUUCACAAAUACCAAACUUCUGGCACCUCUUUGUUUAAAUAAAUAGCGUGAAAGUUGGACACAGACCAGCAAAAUCCAGGAAACAACAUGUCUGAGGUUGCAUCACAAAAAUGUAAUUGAAAAACACUGCAACCUUAUUGGAAACAUGCAACACUAAUCCACAGCAAGUCCAAGGACAAUGGAGACUCUCAACCAAGGCACUGAGCUACGUGCCGCACGGCUGGUGCCCUCUCAGUGGUUCUUUAUUAUUAGGAUGCAACCUGAUGCAUGACAUAAACCUGACAUACUCACACAAGGUCAGACAAAUAUUGCACAGGAACAUCCAUCCUUUACCAAUGGAGCCAGCUGUUCCAUAUUGUGGGUUGCCAUGAACAACCCAACCCUCUUUUCCAUUGCGGAGAUGGGAGUGCUUCUAGCCACCCGGAAUCAGAUCAAUGUUACAAUAGCCAUGUUCAGUUUGACAUCUGAUCUCUUGAACAGCUGGCUGAGAGAGAGACAGUGAACUUCCUUGGCUCUGAGCAGUUCUCUCUUCACAGCUCUUGAAGUGGUAGGACUAGAAAAUGAAAUCCUAUAGUUGGCCUCUCCUGAGAGCACAUGCUGCAACUGUUAUCCAUGC